RNAcentral lists this ribosomal RNA (198 nucleotides) under uncultured bacterium. Its description in RNAcentral is "partial 16S ribosomal RNA". It matches the Rfam family "Bacterial small subunit ribosomal RNA", at positions 328 to 539 of the family's 1533-position model. The record is from RNAcentral.
ACGCUCGACACCUACGGGAGGCAGCAGUUGGGAAUAUUGGACAAUGGAGGAAACUCUGAUCCAGUGACGCCGCGUGAAGGAAGAAGGUCUUCGGAUUGUAAACUUAUUUUGUCAGGGAAGAAAAAUGACUGUACCUGAAGAAAAAGCACCGGCUAACUACGUGCCAGCAGCCGGGUAAUCUGAGCGGGCUGGCAAGGC